This 684-nucleotide ribosomal RNA is filed under the name Klebsiella oxytoca. RNAcentral describes it as "bacterial SSU rRNA". It matches the Rfam family "Bacterial small subunit ribosomal RNA", at positions 59 to 736 of the family's 1533-position model. The record is from RNAcentral. Lineage: Bacteria; Pseudomonadati; Pseudomonadota; Gammaproteobacteria; Enterobacterales; Enterobacteriaceae.
CAGUCGACGGUAGCACAGAGAGCUUGCUCUCGGGUGACGAGUGGCGGACGGGUGAGUAAUGUCUGGGAAACUGCCUGAUGGAGGGGGAUAACUACUGGAAACGGUAGCUAAUACCGCAUAACGUCGCAAGACCAAAGAGGGGGACCUUCGGGCCUCUUGCCAUCAGAUGUGCCCAGAUGGGAUUAGCUAGUAGGUGGGGUAACGGCUCACCUAGGCGACGAUCCCUAGCUGGUCUGAGAGGAUGACCAGCCACACUGGAACUGAGACACGGUCCAGACUCCUACGGGAGGCAGCAGUGGGGAAUAUUGCACAAUGGGCGCAAGCCUGAUGCAGCCAUGCCGCGUGUAUGAAGAAGGCCUUCGGGUUGUAAAGUACUUUCAGCGGGGAGGAAGGCGAUAAGGUUAAUAACCUUGUCGAUUGACGUUACCCGCAGAAGAAGCACCGGCUAACUCCGUGCCAGCAGCCGCGGUAAUACGGAGGGUGCAAGCGUUAAUCGGAAUUACUGGGCGUAAAGCGCACGCAGGCGGUCUGUCAAGUCGGAUGUGAAAUCCCCGGGCUCAACCUGGGAACUGCAUUCGAAACUGGCAGGCUGGAGUCUUGUAGAGGGGGGUAGAAUUCCAGGUGUAGCGGUGAAAUGCGUAAAGAUCUGGAGGAAUACCGUGGCGAAGGCGGCCCCCUGGACAA